This 465-nucleotide ribosomal RNA is filed under the name uncultured Streptococcus sp. Its description in RNAcentral is "bacterial SSU rRNA". It matches the Rfam family "Bacterial small subunit ribosomal RNA", at positions 338 to 795 of the family's 1533-position model. The record is from RNAcentral. Lineage: Bacteria; Bacillati; Bacillota; Bacilli; Lactobacillales; Streptococcaceae.
CCUACGGGCGGCAGCAGUAGGGAAUCUUCGGCAAUGGGGGCAACCCUGACCGAGCAACGCCGCGUGAGUGAAGAAGGUUUUCGGAUCGUAAAGCUCUGUUGUAAGUCAAGAACGAGUGUGAGAGUGGAAAGUUCACACUGUGACGGUAGCUUACCAGAAAGGGACGGCUAACUACGUGCCAGCAGCCGCGGUAAUACGUAGGUCCCGAGCGUUGUCCGGAUUUAUUGGGCGUAAAGCGAGCGCAGGCGGUUUGAUAAGUCUGAAGUUAAAGGCUGUGGCUCAACCAUAGUUCGCUUUGGAAACUGUCAAACUUGAGUGCAGAAGGGGAGAGUGGAAUUCCAUGUGUAACGGUGAAAUGCGUAGAUAUAUGGAGGAACACCGGUGGCGAAAGCGGCUCUCUGGUCUGUAACUGACGCUGAGGCUCGAAAGCGUGGGGAGCGAACAGGAUUAGAUACCCCAGUAGUC